Salvia splendens (bonfire salvia) is the source of this 330-nucleotide long non-coding RNA. RefSeq lists it as uncharacterized. NCBI's taxonomy places the organism in Eukaryota, Viridiplantae, Streptophyta, Magnoliopsida, Lamiales, Lamiaceae. The record is from RefSeq and is a predicted model, not a curated record. The transcript is spliced from 2 exons.
GCUAGUCAUGGCAGCUGCGGCGGCGGACACUUACACCAACCAUACAGUAGGCGGCGACGCCGGCUGGUUCUUCGACUCCACCACCAAUAAGACUUCCCUUGGGCUGCUAAUACGACAUUCAAUCUCGGAGACUAUCUCAGUUUCGUGAAUUUCUGGAAUUUUGAUGUGAUUAGGUGGAUUGCAGUUUCGAGAUUUUAAUUGCUUAAGACGAUUCAGUUGUGGAUGAUUUUUGAGUUUUUUCUUGUUAAUUGUUGACUGCAACUAGUAGAGAUUUUAUGCUGAAUGGAUUCCUUUGAUUGCCAGAAUGUGUAUAUUGAUGAUUUAUAUUUA